GGAUAGCGGAUAGGUUUCAGACGUGUAGGACAACUAGUUACUGUGGGUCUUAUCUAGAGUACUUGCAGGACCGAUCAGGACGUGAACCAUGUAACCAGGGUAGAGGACCGGGAUUAGAUACCCCGUUACUCUUGGCGUGAAGCAUAGUGAGGUCGAUUGGUGUUGUAUGCUUGCCGGGCAACUACGCCUUAACAGGUAAAAGUCGAAGUAAUUGGCGGUCUAGAGAUGAACCAGCCCGCGAGACUUGACGGUUAAUCCGAUGAUCCGCGUAAAUUCUACUCUUUUCUUGCAUUCCCAGUUGGUGUAUGGCCGUGUAGUGCUUCUUGAAAGGGAGUUGCAAGAUCCAUGUUCAUGCUAGUAUGCGUGGGCUUGUGGAGGAAGGCAGGUCGUCAUGCCGCUCAUGAAGGAGGCUUAGUUGAGUCACAUUGAAAGCAAAUCAAGCGGAACCAGGAAGGAAGUAGCUUGGGGAAGAAGUAGUGGGUAGUAAGAAGAGAAUAAUUCGCUUUUUUGAAUCGAGAACUCCUAGGUGUACAAAUCGCCCGUCGCCCCCAGAGCCAAGGACCUUUUUGAAGAAGUAAUUCCGAAAUUCCGGGGUAAGUCGUAACA
Molecule: ribosomal RNA, 606 nt
Filed under: Scapharca indica
Lineage: Eukaryota; Metazoa; Mollusca; Bivalvia; Arcoida; Arcidae
Description: partial small subunit ribosomal RNA
Rfam family: Bacterial small subunit ribosomal RNA
Source: RNAcentral